GGAAUGGUUUUCAUUGGUAAGUUAAGGCAAUUGCUAAUUGUUCGGGAAAUAUCCCUUAGGUGUUCGACUCACCUCCAUUCCG
This 82-nucleotide transfer RNA is filed under the name Marasmius tenuissimus. RNAcentral's name for it is "tRNA-Ser". Lineage: Eukaryota; Fungi; Basidiomycota; Agaricomycetes; Agaricales; Marasmiaceae. The record is from RNAcentral.